This is a non-coding RNA of Theobroma cacao (cacao), 2335 nucleotides long. The record is from RefSeq and is a predicted model, not a curated record. Lineage: Eukaryota; Viridiplantae; Streptophyta; Magnoliopsida; Malvales; Malvaceae.
UGUACGAAAACAAUACCGUUUCUGAUCCGGGCAAGCGCAAAGCGCCCAAGGCAGAAUAGCAGACAUAGCAAGUCUUUACUCUUUACGACUCGAUGCUGACACUGCUUUUAUUCACGAGUCAGAGGCUAUCAGUUCUCCUCAUUAACAAUGUUUCAAAGUUCAGAAAUUCUUUAAAACUCGGUUAAACUCAUCUAUCAUCCAGCGUUUUUUUUAUAUCAAACAAGAAAAACUAUUACAUCUUGCUUUUGAUCUGGGGUUUCUUUUUUGGUGAAAAAUGGUGGUUGGGCUUGUUGCAUGGCUGAGAGCCACUUGGGUUGCAGUGGUUCUGCCUAUUAUCUCAGCUUCAAUACCCAGUUCCAAGCUGAGUUCAUUUCAUGAACUUAUUUUGGGGUUUGCACAAAGAGGGAAGAUCAGGCAACCAUCUUCUUUUGCUCCGAUCCGGAGAGACGGGAAGCUGAAAUUUAAGCCAGUUUGCCAAAUUUGGAAACUGAGUACCAUUGUCUCUAAUUCUUUUAAAUUAGUACCAUUAUUUCAGUAUGUUUGGCAAUGAAUUGUUGCAGCCUUGUACGAUUUGCGUUUUGGUAUUUCUGUUUAAUUAGACCAUUGUUUCCGCCAUAGUUUUGUCAAGACUCAAGCUUACUCUGAGCUUGAGCUAUCUGUAGCUUGCAGUGAAAUUAAUGAAUCAGAAUAGAUUCGGGUUUUCGAAUCUGCUUUGACACAAUACUGAACUUUCCUUCACUGCAAAUCCAAAAUUGUUCCUCGGAGAUUCUUCUCCCAUUUCUACGUGAUGGCUUCCAUCUGGACGCUGCUCCUCACAGCAUGGCUAUAUGCAUACGCAAUGGCUCCAAUGAAUUCUAACCCAUCUCAUUUUUCACAUCUUGCUAGCCAUAGCCACUUGACAGGGGGUUCACAUAUCUUUUCUUUGCAUGAAUCUCAUUCGACACUAGUUGAGCAAUACAGGGUCUGGCGAAUCGUUUUCCUACUUAUGUUAAUGGAAGCUCAAAUCUCAAACCAUUCUUCCAUGUUUAGUUACUGCAUAGCAGCACCACUGUCACUCUGCUGCAAUUGUGCGCCGGUGGUGUUUAAAUUUACUCUGGACCCUGGUGUCCAAAUUCAUCAUUAAAGGAAAGAAUAAGAUUACAGCCAUUGAAAUUGAUUGGUGGGAAUCUGUAAAUCAUCUUUAUGAAGCUUGGAUGGCGACAGUAGAUUGGUAGUGCUAUAUUUCAAUGCCUUUGUCAUGCAAUCCUAGUAAGUCACCAAACUUGAUGUGUUGUUAUCGCAAAGGCGUUGCGGAAGCCCAUGUUUAUGUAUCUAUUAUAGUUCCAUGUAUUCGGAUAGGGGAUGGAAUUAGAACUUUGCUGGUUGACCAGGUUUAGGCAGAUGGCAACUGAAUUAUGAUUGUUUGCGCAAAGGGUCAUUUUGAUGCUCCUCUGCUUCUCUCACCUUCCCGUUAGCUGACAUGUUCAAAUCUUCAAUAGGACUCACCGUGGGGCGUGGGCACAUGCUGAACAAAAUUGAUGACUGUAAUUCCUACCGCAGAUUGGUGGCCCUUCGUGGUGUUUCUGGAAGAUAUGCUAGUUUUUGUUCAAGGGCAUACCAUCCUUUUUCAGCCUUCUGGACGUUGCUUUUGUUCUUAUUUGGGGAACCUUUUAAUUCCUCAUUGAUUAAUGGAAGUUAUCUCUUGAUUUUCAAAAAAAAAAAAACUUACUGCAGGUGGCAUAUCUGGGGUUUGCAGCAGCUGAAACGCAUAAGUGAUAUCUUCACAACUUUGAAAAUUGGUUAAAUUACCCAAGAACUCAAUUUGCUAUCAUCCCAUUCAUCUUUUAAGGUUUAGGAGCACUAAUUAUAUAAUGCAUUGUACGCUUGACUGUAAUUUCCUUAAGGGGUUUUAGUACCUAAAGUAAUUGUUUAAGUAUCAGCAUGUUAGGAGGACUACAUGAAAUGUGGGGUUUUAUUUAAAAACUGAUGAACUUUGGCAUCAUUGAACUAAUUUAUGACAGUAGGAUGUCCCAUGAAAUGAAUGAUAUGCACAGAUACUAUUUUCUAGAGAGAAAAAGAUGAAAACAAAAAAAGAAAAGAAGGAAUGAAAUACUAGAGGAAAAGAUGAUUCUUGUUCUAUCUGUCACACCCCACACCCACAACUUAAUCUGUAGUUUAAGAAACGAACAUCUUAACAUAUACCCAAGAAACAAUUUAUUCCAAGUUAAAUUUCUUAAUGUAUCCACUUAUUCAAAGUAAAAACAUUUUGCUAAAAGUAUAUGUUCACACAUUCAUAAGGAUUUAUACAUCCUUCUCACAUACUAACAAAAGUUUAAAACUUCAAAAUCAUGAGAGC